CGUAGGGUGCGAGCGUUAAUCGGAAUUACUGGGCGUAAAGCGUGCGCAGGCGGUUUUGUAAGACAGAUGUGAAAUCCCCGGGCUUAACCUGGGAACUGCGUUUGUGACUGCAAGACUCGAGUACGGCAGAGGGGGUGGAAUUCCACGUGUAGCAGUGAAAUGCGUAGAGAUGUGGAGGAACACCGAUGGCGAAGGCAGCCCCCUGGGUCGAUACUGACGCUCAUGCACGAAAGCGUGGGGGAGCAAACAGGAUU
This 254-nucleotide ribosomal RNA is filed under the name uncultured bacterium. RNAcentral's name for it is "partial 16S ribosomal RNA". It matches the Rfam family "Bacterial small subunit ribosomal RNA", at positions 526 to 779 of the family's 1533-position model. The record is from RNAcentral.